AUAUAAUGUUUGCCCCAAAAUAUAGCANAGACCACGAAAAUGCCAUAAAAAGUACAUUAAGGUCAAAAUUUGGAGUAGGAAAAAAAAUCAAUAGGAGAAUUCCAUUUUCCUUCCUCAUUCAUUGGAGAGCUCUCUUUGGGCAUUCCAAAAAGGUAUCACAUGCCAAGUUUGGCCUCACGGUCUAAAAGUUAUAGAGUAAUACAUUUUUAACAAAAAAAAAAGAGAAAAACCGAAAAAAAGAGGGAUGCAACACGAAGACUUUUCUGGAGGUCACCCAUCCUAGUACUACUCUCCCCCAAGCACGCUUAACUGUGGUGUUCUGAUAGGAUCAAGUGCAUUAGUGCUGGUAUGAUCGCAUCAGUUACUACAUGCAAUGCAAUCAUAUAUAUUCUUUUUUGAAGACUUUAUGAUCCAUUGUCGUAGGUCCCACCAGCUAUGUAGGAAUACCCUUUCUUGUUUAUAAGAGCUUUGAUACAUGCAAAAUAUUCGAAAACAAUGUCCGAACAUAUAAUUUUUGUCCCGUAAUAUAGCAAAGAUCACGAAAAGGCCAGAAAAAAUACAUUUCGGUCAAAAUUUGGAGUAGAAAAAAAGCCCUUCCUCAUUCAUUGGACAGCUCUCUUUGGGCUUUCCGAAAAGGUAUCACAUGCCAAGUUUGGCCUCACGGUCUAAACCUUAUAGACUCAUACAUUUUUCACAAAAAAAAGAAGAGAAAAGCCAAAAAAAAAGAGUGAUUAAACACGAGGACUUUCCUGGAGGUCACCCAUCCUAGUACUACUCUCGCCCAAGCACGCUUAACUGCGAAGUUCUGAUGGGAUCUGGUGCAUUAGUGCUGGUAUGAUCGCAUCUGUUACUACAUGCAAUGAAAUCGUAUCUAUUCUUUUUUGAAGAUUUUAUGAUUCAUUUACCGUGGGUCCCACCAGCUAUGUAGGAAUAACCUAUCU
This 941-nucleotide small RNA is filed under the name Arabidopsis thaliana (thale cress). RNAcentral describes it as "ATSL163740". Lineage: Eukaryota; Viridiplantae; Streptophyta; Magnoliopsida; Brassicales; Brassicaceae. The record is from RNAcentral.